ACACGACUACGUAGUUUGAUCAGUGCUCAGAGCACGCUGGCGGCAGGCCUAACACAUGCAAGUCGAACGAACUCUUCGGAGUUAGUGGCGGACGGGUGAGUAACGCGUGGGAAUCUACCCUAGAGCGGGGGACAACCCGGGGAAACCCGGGCUAAUACCGCAUACGUCCUACGGGAGAAAGAGGGCCUCUGCUUGCACGCUCUCACUCCAGGAUGAGCCCACGUCCGAUUAGCUAGUUGGUAGGGUAAAGGCCUACCAAGGCCACGAUCGGUAGCUGGUCUGAGAGGAUGAUCAGCCACACUGGGACUGAGACACGGCCCAGACUCCUACGGGAGGCAGCAGUGGGGAAUAUUGGACAAUGGGCGCAAGCCCGAUCCAGCAAUGCCGCGUGUGUGAAGAAGGCCUGCGGGUUGUAAAGCACUUUCAGUGGGGAAGAACAGAUUCGGGUCAAUACCCCGGAGCCCUGACGUUACCCACAGAAGAAGCACCGGCUAACUCCGUG
RNAcentral lists this ribosomal RNA (502 nucleotides) under uncultured bacterium. RNAcentral's name for it is "bacterial SSU rRNA". It matches the Rfam family "Bacterial small subunit ribosomal RNA", at positions 1 to 507 of the family's 1533-position model. The record is from RNAcentral.